Oikopleura dioica is the source of this 163-nucleotide small nuclear RNA. It matches the Rfam family "U1 spliceosomal RNA". From Rfam's summary of the family: U1 is a small nuclear RNA (snRNA) component of the spliceosome (involved in pre-mRNA splicing). Its 5' end forms complementary base pairs with the 5' splice junction, thus defining the 5' donor site of an intron. NCBI's taxonomy places the organism in Eukaryota, Metazoa, Chordata, Appendicularia, Copelata, Oikopleuridae. The record is from Rfam.
AUACUUACCUGGGCGGAGGGUAACCUCGAUCAAGUAGGGGGUUCCCUCAUGGCGAGGCCGUACCAUUGCACACCGGCGCGGCUGACCUGUGUCUCUUUGCCAAAUCGGUGGAGUGUCCGUCGCAAUUUCUGAUAGUGGGGUUCUGCGUUCGCGCGAACCCCUU